AUGAACGCUGGCGGCGUGCCUCAUCCCUGCCAGUCGAGCGAACGGACGAGAAGCUUGCUUCUCUGAUGUUAGCGGCGGACGGGUGAGUAACACGUGGAUAACCUACCUAUAAGACUGGGAUAACUUCGGGAAACCGUAGCUAAUACCGGAUAAUAUUUUGAACCGCAUGGUUCCAAAGUGAAAGACGGUCUUGCUGUCACUUAUAGAUGGAUCCGCGCUGCAUUAGCUAGUUGGUAAGGUAACGGCUUACCAAGGCAACGAUGCAUAGCCGACCUGAGAGGGUGAUCGGCCACACUGGAACUGAGACACGGUCCAGACUCCUACGGGAGGCAGCAGUAGGGAAUCUUCCGCAAUGGGCGAAAGCCUGACGGAGCAACGCCGCGUGAGUGAUGAAGGUCUUCGGAUCGUAAAACUCUGUUAUUAGGGAAGAACAUAUGUGUAAGUAACUGUGCACAUCUUGACGGUACCUAAUCAGAAAGCCACGGCUAACUACGUG
This 496-nucleotide ribosomal RNA is filed under the name uncultured bacterium. RNAcentral describes it as "partial 16S ribosomal RNA". It matches the Rfam family "Bacterial small subunit ribosomal RNA", at positions 29 to 507 of the family's 1533-position model. The record is from RNAcentral.